Molecule: ribosomal RNA, 344 nt
Filed under: uncultured bacterium
Lineage: Bacteria
Description: partial 16S ribosomal RNA
Rfam family: Bacterial small subunit ribosomal RNA
Source: RNAcentral
CCUACGGGAGGCAGCAGUGAGGAAUAUUGCUCAAUGGACGGAAGUCUGAACCAGCCACGCCGCGUGAAGGAAGACGGAUUUCUGUGUUGUAAACUGUUUUUGCACAAGGGAAAAUCACGAUACGUGUAUUCAACUGCACGUCUAACUCGGAUCCAGCAGCGGCGGUAAUACGUAGGGUGCAGGCGUUAUCCGGAUUUACUGGGGGUAAAGGGGGCGUAGACGGAAGCACAAGUUAGAAGUGAAAUGCCUGGGCUUAACUCGGGAACUGCGUGUUAAACUGUGGAGCUAGAGUGAAGGAGCGGUAAGUGGAAUGUAUGGUGUAGCGGUGAAAUGCGUAGAGAUCA